CACGUAGGGCGCAAGCGUUGUCCGGAAUUAUUGGGCGUAAAGAGCUCGUAGGCGGUCUGUUGCGUCCGCUGUGAAAACUCGGGGCUUAACCCCGAGCCUGCAGUGGAUACGGGCAGACUAGAGGUAGGUAGGGGAGAAUGGAAUUCCCGGUGUAGCGGUGAAAUGCGCAGAUAUCGGGAGGAACACCGGUGGCGGAAGGCGGUUCUCUGGGCCUUACCUGACGCUGAGGAGCGAAAGCGUGGGGAGCGAACAGGAUUGAGGA
RNAcentral lists this ribosomal RNA (262 nucleotides) under uncultured bacterium. RNAcentral's name for it is "partial 16S ribosomal RNA". It matches the Rfam family "Bacterial small subunit ribosomal RNA", at positions 524 to 784 of the family's 1533-position model. The record is from RNAcentral.